This 425-nucleotide ribosomal RNA is filed under the name uncultured bacterium. Its description in RNAcentral is "bacterial SSU rRNA". It matches the Rfam family "Bacterial small subunit ribosomal RNA", at positions 355 to 786 of the family's 1533-position model. The record is from RNAcentral.
UGGGGAAUCUUGCGCAAUGGGCGAAAGCCUGACGCAGCAACGCCGCGUGGGGGGAUGAAGGCCUUCGGGUUGUAAACCUCUUCACCAUCGACGAAGCCCUUUGGGGUGACGGUAGGUGGGGAAGAAGCACCGGCUAACUACGUGCCAGCAGCCGCGGUAAUACGUAGGGUGCGAGCGUUGUCCGGAUUUAUUGGGCGUAAAGAGCUCGUAGGCGGUUUGUCGCGUCGGCCGUGAAAAACCUACAGCUUAACUGUGGGCUUGCGGUCGAUACGGGCAGACUUGAGUUCGGCAGGGGAGACUGGAAUUCCUGGUGUAGCGGUGAAAUGCGCAGAUAUCAGGAGGAACACCGGUGGCGAAGGCGGGUCUCUGGACUGUAACUGACGUUGAGGCUCGAAAGCGUGGGGAGCAAAACAGGAUUAGAUACC